This 89-nucleotide transfer RNA is filed under the name Clostridia bacterium. RNAcentral's name for it is "tRNA-Leu". It matches the Rfam family "tRNA". Rfam says of the family: Transfer RNA (tRNA) molecules are approximately 80 nucleotides in length. Their secondary structure includes four short double-helical elements and three loops (D, anti-codon, and T loops). Further hydrogen bonds mediate the characteristic L-shaped molecular structure. tRNAs have two regions of fundamental functional importance: the anti-codon, which is responsible for specific mRNA codon recognition, and the 3' end, to which the tRNAs corresponding amino acid is attached (by aminoacyl-tRNA synthetases). tRNAs cope with the degeneracy of the genetic code in two manners: having more than one tRNA (with a specific anti-codon) for a particular amino acid; and 'wobble' base-pairing, i.e. permitting non-standard base-pairing at the 3rd anti-codon position. Lineage: Bacteria; Bacillati; Bacillota; Clostridia. The record is from RNAcentral.
GCCGGCGUGGCGAAAUUGGCAGACGCAAGGGACUUAAAAUCCCUCGGGGUGAGAGCUCCAUACCGGUUCGAGUCCGGUCGCCGGCACCA